RNAcentral lists this ribosomal RNA (433 nucleotides) under uncultured bacterium. RNAcentral describes it as "partial 16S ribosomal RNA". It matches the Rfam family "Bacterial small subunit ribosomal RNA", at positions 29 to 507 of the family's 1533-position model. The record is from RNAcentral.
AACGAACGCUGGCGGCAUGCCUAACACAUGCAAGUCGAACGAGACCUUCGGGUCUAGUGGCGCACGGGUGCGUAACGCGUGGGAACCUGCCCUUAGGUUCGGAAUCACUCCCCGAAAGGGGUGCUAAUACCGGAUAAUGUCUUCGGACCAAAGAUUUAUCGCCUUUGGAUGGGCCCGCGUUGGAUUAGCUAGUUGGUAGGGUAAAAGCCUACCAAGGCGACGAUCCAUAGCUGGUCUGAGAGGAUGAUCAGCCACACUGGGACUGAGACACGGCCCAGACUCCGACGGGAGGCAGCAGUGGAGAAUAUUGGACAAGGGGCGAAAGCCUGAUCCAGCAAUGCCGCGGAAGUGAUGAAGGCCUUAGGGUUGUAAAGCUCUUUUACCCGAGAUGAUAAUGACAGUACCGGGAGAAUAAGCUCCGGCUAACUCCGUG